Molecule: long non-coding RNA, 911 nt
Filed under: Gossypium barbadense (sea-island cotton)
Lineage: Eukaryota; Viridiplantae; Streptophyta; Magnoliopsida; Malvales; Malvaceae
Description: long non-coding RNA (GBAR_LNC001686)
Source: RNAcentral
AAAAACAAAGAAAAAUCCUCUGAAGAGGAUCCCUGGUCCUCUGAGCUCCGGCGUUUAGCCGAUCAGUUCUGGUCAUCGGACCUCCGCGCUGAGAACCACGCGCCGCCACCGACUCCGCCACACACGACGGUCGGAUCUUGAAAAGUUUCACUUUUCAAGGUGAUUCUCCAGGUAUACUCUCUCUAUCUAUUUAAUAUAUUAUAUGCAUAAGCUCAAGAUCAAGAGAAUGAAACGAAAAUAAAAAUAUGUCACCUUUGUCUUUUGUAAAAGAUCUCUGGUAUAUUAUUGCAAAAAAAACUCUGUGUACAAUAUUUUUUUGGUCUCUGCCUCCGUGUCUUUUUACAGAUUAAAAAGAAGGCUUUAUAGCCUCUACUACUACAAGUUUUGGAAAGAAAUCAUCGAUUUCUUUUCGUAUUUGCUUCGCAUGUUUGCUGUGAUUUUCUUUCCUUUUCUUGCAGGUACUUGCGAAAAAUCUGGCAAUAACAAAGGCCUGACGAUGGUCCACUGGUGGCGUUGAUCUCGGCGUGACUUGGGGCCUGGAAUCAUGGCCUUGACAGGGUAGCUGGAACAGUAGGAGCUGAAGAGUCAUGAGGCUUGGCUUCUGGAACCUUCUGUUUGCGGCGCAAGGAGAGAGGCAGAAACCCUAGGGUUUCAUGCCAUAGUGUAACAAGCUGGGCCACUUGGGCCCGUUUUGUCCUGGGUCCACUUGGGUCUGUUGUAAUGGGUCUUAGUUUUAGUGCAUCUGGGUAGGAUGUAAUAGUGGGCCUGCUAGUUAUUGUAACUGGGUAAGGUCUCUUGUAUUUGGGCCUGCUGUUUAGGCUUUUGUAUUUGGGUAAAGGACUAUUAAAAGACUUUAUAUUUUGAAAUUUUGGAUUAUGCCUUGGCUUCCAAUGGGCCGGGCAAAAUUGAGG